RNAcentral lists this ribosomal RNA (345 nucleotides) under Neochromadora sp. PB-2006. RNAcentral's name for it is "SSU rRNA". It matches the Rfam family "Eukaryotic small subunit ribosomal RNA", at positions 88 to 433 of the family's 1831-position model. Lineage: Eukaryota; Metazoa; Nematoda; Chromadorea; Chromadorida; Chromadoridae. The record is from RNAcentral.
CGCGAAUGGCUCAUUACAACAGCCAUAGUUUAUUGGAUCUUAGAGUCCUACUUGGAUACCUGUGGUAAUUCUAGAGCUAAUACACGCAAUCAAGCCCCAACCUGACGGGCGGGGCGCAUUUAUUAGAACAAAACCAAUUGGCUUCGGCCAUUAAUUGGUGAAUCUGAAUAACUACGCUGAUCGCACGGUCUCGUACCGGCGACGUAUCCUUCAAGUGUCUGCCUUAUCAACUUUCGAUGGUAGUUUACAUGACUACCAUGGUUGUAACGGGUAACGGAGAAUAAGGGUUCGACUCCGGAGAGGGAGCCUGAGAAACGGCUACCACAUCCAAGGAAGGCAGCAGGC